This 252-nucleotide ribosomal RNA is filed under the name uncultured bacterium. RNAcentral describes it as "partial 16S ribosomal RNA". It matches the Rfam family "Bacterial small subunit ribosomal RNA", at positions 524 to 776 of the family's 1533-position model. The record is from RNAcentral.
UACGAGGGGGGCGAGCGUUGUUCGGAAUUAUUGGGCGUAAAGGGUGCGUAGGCGGCCUGACAAGUCUGAUGUGAAAUCCCUGGGCUCAACCCAGGGCCUGCAUCGGAAACUGUCGGGCUUGAGUAUGGGAGAGGUGAGUGGAAUUUCCGGUGUAGCGGUGAAAUGCGUAGAUAUCGGAAGGAACACCUGUGGCGAAAGCGGCUCACUGGACCAUUCUGACGCUGAGGCACGAAAGCUAGGGGAGCAAACAGG